AACAUCUUUUUUGUACACAGCAUGUAACAUGUUUUGUGGAUAUGAUUGAUUAAGUAUUUGUAUCUGUGCUGAGUGUUCCUGUGAAGAAAAACAGAAAGUGAUGCAGUUUCAGUUUCAGUUGGCAUUAGAAAACAUAAUUCUACAUUUUCAUGAGGGGCAAGCUAUAAGCUGUUCUACUGUGGUGGAUAAGGUGCUUCAGAUAAUCAUUUCUCACUUGUAUGCCUUAAAAUAAAAUACUUAAAAUCAACCACAAAUAAAACUAUAGCCUAAUAGAAAGCAUAAAUCUCUCAGCAUGCUUUAAAGACAUGCUGGCGAGUGAAGUCAAAGUAGGUGAAACUCCCUCUUCCUUUAUGAUCAUUCCUGAAAAUGGAACCUUAGCGAAGUGUGGCAUUUUCUGCAGGAUCUCCCUGACUGGGUAAAUGCACGGCAGGCUGUCUGCCUCAUACACAAACUUCUGCAAGCGUGAAAAGAAAAGAGAGAAGUUAUGAGCUCUCUUAACUGUCUACCUACAACAAGGAGGUCUAUAAUACCUUGAGAAAGUUAUUCCCAAUCAUCUCAAUGGCAGUUGCUUGGCUGGUGCACGAAUCACACUGAAAAUACAGGAAUCUGCCAUUUUUGGUAAUGGUUGGUUCAUCAUUUAAUAUUAACCUCAAAGGAAAGAAAAAAACUAAAACUAAAAGUCAGCAAAAUUAUUACUCCAUUGAUCCUCCUGCAUGUUUAUUGUAAGAGUAACCUUUAGGCUAUUUUUAGGAUUUUAAGCCGAUUUACCAAGCAAAACUGCUAAAACAAAUUUAUGAAGGAGAUUUCCAUAUAAUACUGGAAAUAUUUUAUCAAGUCCUGUUUCCAAUAUUUUUUGUUUAUUUGCGGUUUAGAAUCAGAAUUAACGAUGCCUGAUUCGUGAAUGAACUCUUUUGAAUCGGUUCUCAUUUGAAACGUCAACGUGGAUUUACAAUGAUUGAACUAACUCAAAGACUGAAUCUUUUGGAGCGGUUUAUCGCUGUGUGAAACAGUAGAUUUAUCGUAAAACAGAAUGCUUUGCAUAAACAGCGGUGGACUAAAUUGAUAUUAACCAAACCAUCCUAUCGUUAUCGUUUAUUGCAGCGACGAGGAAGAUAAACAAGUGCAGCCUGUGAACGACUCUACUUCAGGAGUGGCUUAAGUGUCUGAACACUUUAUGAGGCCAUUGCAUAAGGACCUGUUGAAGAGUUUCACACACACACAGACAGAGAAAGAGAUGAUGUGACUGCAUGAGGAGCUCUGAUAGUCCGCCUACUGCUACACCAAUGAACUAAUCCACCACCUCUCCUGAUUGUUUAUGUACUUGGAGACACCAUGGAGACAGCAGCAUCAGUGAAGAGCAAGCUUGAGAUGAAAUGUAAGAUGUGACUGGAAUGAAAAAUCAAGGAGCUUGAAAGUCUUUGGUCCCCAUCCGUAUUGUGUGGAAAAGAGCAGCAUGAUCAUUCUUGAAAACAUCUCCUUUUGUGUUCCACAGAUGAAAGAAAGUUGUACAGGUUUGAGGGAGCUUAAUAGUCUUUGGUUCCCAUCCACUUCAACUGUAUGGAAAAAAGCAGCAUGAUCAUUCUUUGAAACUUCUACUUUUGUGUUCCACAGAUGAAAGAAAGUUGAACAGGUUUAAGGGAAAAAAAUCCACCUUCCUGUUGGGAAAUAAUGCAACUGAAUGACACUUGAAGACUGCACAAACAUGGCAGCACCCGGAGAGAUAAUAAAUUGAUGAUAAAUGUUGACUUUCAAGCAAAUAAAAUGCAUCACUGAGUCAAAUUUCCAACAUGAGUUGGUAAUAAAACCAGGUGGGUAAAAAAUGGUAAAUGGUCCUGUUGAUAAUCACAAAUGCUAGCAUCGCAGUUGAUGUCGCUCUGUUGAUAAUCAAACCUGCAAAGCUAAUGUUAGCAAAUCUUUUUUGAUUCCUUAAAAAAAAAAAAUUGGGCGAUGGAACAACUUCAUGGUUGGAAUAUGUUGGAAUAUUUUAAAUGGUACACAGUACAGGUAGAGCAACAUGAUAUUUAACUGAAAAUAACCUACUUUUCAUUAUCCAAUCAAAUUCUGUCCACUGAAUAUUCUGUUUUAUUCAGUAAAGAAGUUAAAUGUUUUGCAGAAUGCCAUUUUAUGUGUCCUUUAAGAGAUUUCGACUGGAAAAGGAAGAAAAAGAGGGUCAUGCACCCACACCACCAGGCUCAAAUCUCCAAAACGACACACACCCACAUGAGUAAUAGAGCGUUCCUCUGUUGUGAUAUAAUAGCAUGUUGUACAACACUGAGUCAAUGUUAGGGAUGGACCUGAAGAGGAUUAGUUUGGCUCAGCCAGCGAACUGUACAUUAACAGAUAGAUCAGAGAUCCCUGAGGCUUCCGAAAGCCGCUGUGCUGAUGGCUCGGCCCUGUCUGCAUGGCCUAAUUCACUAUGAUGCGUAUUGAUUAAGUGUGCAGUGGAAAUACUCAUUCCUCUGAAGCAAACAUUCACACUCAGUUUGUUAUCCUGAGCUUAUAUUUUUGUUUUGAAAUAAAUAAAGUUUCUCUUGAGAAUUUGAAGAAAAAA
Long non-coding RNA from Ctenopharyngodon idella (grass carp), 2551 nucleotides. RefSeq lists it as uncharacterized. Lineage: Eukaryota; Metazoa; Chordata; Actinopteri; Cypriniformes; Xenocyprididae. The transcript is spliced from 6 exons. The record is from RefSeq and is a predicted model, not a curated record.